GUCGAACGGUAGAGGGGGCAACCCCUCGAGAGUGGCGAACGGGUGAGUAAUAUAUCGGAACGUGCCCAGUCGUGGGGGAUAACGUAGCGAAAGUUACGCUAAUACCGCAUACGAUCUACGGAUGAAAGCGGGGGAUCGCAAGACCUCGCGCGAUUGGAGCGGCCGAUAUCAGAUUAGGUAGUUGGUGAGGUAAAGGCUCACCAAGCCAACGAUCUGUAGCUGGUCUGAGAGGACGACCAGCCACACUGGAACUGAGACACGGUCCAGACUCCUACGGGAGGCAGCAGUGGGGAAUUUUGGACAAUGGACGCAAGUCUGAUCCAGCCAUUCCGCGUGCAGGAUGAAGGCCCUCGGGUUGUAAACUGCUUUUGUACGGAACGAAAAGGUCUCUCUUAAUACGGGGGGCUCAUGACGGUACCGUAAGAAUAAGCACCGGCUAACUACGUGCCAGCAGCCGCGGUAAUACGUAGGGUGCAAGCGUUAAUCGGAAUUACUGGGCGUAAAGCGUGCGCAGGCGGUUAUAUAAGACAGAUGUGAAAUCCCCGGGCUCAACCUGGGAACUGCAUUUGUGACUGUAUAGCUAGAGUACGGUAGAGGGGGAUGGAAUUCCGCGUGUAGCAGUGAAAUGCGUAGAUAUGCGGAGGAACACCGAUGGCGAAGGCAAUCCCCUGGACCUGUACUGACGCUCAUGCACGAAAGCGUGGGGAGCAAACAGGAUUAGAUACCCUGGUAGUCCACGCCCUAAACGAU
This 750-nucleotide ribosomal RNA is filed under the name uncultured bacterium. RNAcentral describes it as "bacterial SSU rRNA". It matches the Rfam family "Bacterial small subunit ribosomal RNA", at positions 61 to 810 of the family's 1533-position model. The record is from RNAcentral.